Molecule: ribosomal RNA, 394 nt
Filed under: uncultured bacterium
Lineage: Bacteria
Description: partial 16S ribosomal RNA
Rfam family: Bacterial small subunit ribosomal RNA
Source: RNAcentral
CCUACGGGUGGCUGCAGUGAGGAAUAUUGGUCAAUGGGCGAGAGCCUGAACCAGCCAAGUCGCGUGAGGGAUGAAGGCUCUAUGGGUUGUAAACUUCUUUUAUAUGGGAAUAAAGUGAGGAACGUGUUCCUGUUUGUAUGUACCAUAGGAAUAAGCAUCGGCUAACUCCGUUCCAGCAGCCGCGGUAAUACGGAGGAUGCGAGCGUUAUCCGGAUUUAUUGGGUUUAAAGGGUGCGUAGGUGGUUAAUUAAGUCAGCGGUGAAAGUUUGUGGCUCAACCCUAAUACUGCCGUUGAAACUGGUUGCCUUGAGUAUACUUGAGGUAGGCGGAAUGCGUGGUGUAGCGGUGAAAUGCAUAGAUAUCACGCAGAACUCCGAUUGCGAAGGCAGCCUAC